This 404-nucleotide ribosomal RNA is filed under the name Fusobacteriota bacterium. RNAcentral's name for it is "Fusobacteria bacterium partial 16S ribosomal RNA". It matches the Rfam family "Bacterial small subunit ribosomal RNA", at positions 355 to 776 of the family's 1533-position model. The record is from RNAcentral. Lineage: Bacteria; Fusobacteriati; Fusobacteriota.
UGGGGAAUAUUGCACAAUGGAGGGAACUCUGAUGCAGCGACGCCGCGUGAGUGAUGAAGGAAUUCGUUUCGUAAAACUCUGUUCUAUGGGAAGAAAAGGACUGUACCAUAGGAGAAAGCUCCGGCUAAAUACGUGCCAGCAGCCGCGGUAAUACGUAUGGAGCGAGCGUUGUCCGGAAUUAUUGGGCGUAAAGGGUGCGCAGGCGGCUUUACAAGUUGGAUGUGAAAUAUUGUGGCUCAACCACAAACGUGCAUCCAAAACUGCAAAGCUUGAGUUAAGGAGAGGUAAGUGGAAUUCCUGGUGUAGCGGUGGAAUGCGUAGAUAUCAGGAGGAAUACCGGUGGCGCAGGCGACUUACUGGACUUAAACUGACGAUCCGGCACGAAAGCGUGGGGAGCAAACAGG